This 253-nucleotide ribosomal RNA is filed under the name uncultured bacterium. Its description in RNAcentral is "partial 16S ribosomal RNA". It matches the Rfam family "Bacterial small subunit ribosomal RNA", at positions 524 to 776 of the family's 1533-position model. The record is from RNAcentral.
UACAGGGGGGGCAAGCGUUGUUCGGAAUUACUGGGCGUAAAGGGCUCGUAGGUGGCCAACUAAGUCAGACGUGAAAUCCCUCAGCUUAACUGGGGAACUGCGUCUGAUACUGGAUGGCUUGAGUUUGGGAGAGGGAUGCGGAAUUCCAGGUGUAGCGGUGAAAUGCGUAGAUAUCUGGAGGAACACCGGUGGCGAAGGCGGCAUCCUGGCCCUGACCUGACGCUGAGGCGCGAUAGCGUGGGGAGCAAACGGG